AGUGAACGCUGGCGGUAGGCCUAACACAUGCAAGUCGAACGGCAGCACCGGAGCGCUUGCCCCCCAGGUGGCGAGCGGCGGACGGGUGAGGAUUACAUCGGAAUCUGCUCAGCCGUGGGGGUUCACGUAGGGAAAAUUAUCCUCAUACCGAAUAUGUCCUUCGUGUGGAAGAGGGGGAUCGCAAGUACCCUCGUGAUUGGAUGAGCCGAUGUCGGAUUAGCUAGUCAGCGGGGUAAUGGCCCACCAAGGCGGCGACCCGUAGCUGGUCUGAGAGGAGGAUCAGCCACACUGGAACUGAGACACAUUCCCGACUCCUACGGUAGGCAGCAGUGGGGAAUAUUGGGCAAGGGAGGCAAGCCUAAUCCAGCCAUACCGCGUAGGUGAAGAAGGCCUUCUGGUUGUAGAGCCCUGUUGUUGGGAAAGAAAUCUUGCAGGCUAAUACCCUAGGAUGAUGACGGUACCCAAAGAAUAAGCACCGGCUAACUUCGUG
This 490-nucleotide ribosomal RNA is filed under the name uncultured bacterium. RNAcentral's name for it is "partial 16S ribosomal RNA". It matches the Rfam family "Bacterial small subunit ribosomal RNA", at positions 29 to 507 of the family's 1533-position model. The record is from RNAcentral.